GGGCUCGUAGCUCAGCGGUUAGAGCGGCCGGCUCAUAACCGGUUGGUCGUAGGUUCGAUCCCUACCGAGCCCACCA
RNAcentral lists this transfer RNA (76 nucleotides) under Dehalococcoidales bacterium. RNAcentral's name for it is "tRNA-Ile". It matches the Rfam family "tRNA". From Rfam's summary of the family: Transfer RNA (tRNA) molecules are approximately 80 nucleotides in length. The record is from RNAcentral. Lineage: Bacteria; Bacillati; Chloroflexota; Dehalococcoidia; Dehalococcoidales.